AUUGAACGCUGGCGGCAUGCUUUACACAUGCAAGUCGAACGGCAGCGCGGGGGCAACCCUGGCGGCGAGUGGCGAACGGGUGAGUAAUGCAUCGGAACGUAUCCUGUAAUGGGGGAUAACGUAGCGAAAGUUACGCUAAUACCGCAUACGCUCGAGAGAGGAAAGUGGGGGAUCGCAAGACCUCACGUUACAGGAGCGGCCGAUAUCAGAUUAGGUUGUUGGUGGGGUAAAGGCCUACCAAGCCGACGAUCUGUAGCUGGUCUGAGAGGACGACCAGCCACACUGGGACUGAGACACGGCCCAGACUCCUACGGGAGGCAGCAGUGGGGAAUUUUGGACAAUGGGCGAAAGCCUGAUCCAGCAAUGCCGCGUGCAGGAUGAAGGCCU
Molecule: ribosomal RNA, 387 nt
Filed under: uncultured bacterium
Lineage: Bacteria
Description: bacterial SSU rRNA
Rfam family: Bacterial small subunit ribosomal RNA
Source: RNAcentral